AGUGAACGCUGGCGGUAGGCCUAACACAUGCAAGUCGAACGGCAGCACAGGAGAGCUUGCUCUCUGGGCGGCGAGUGGCGGACGGGUGAGGAAUACAUCGGAAUCUACUCUGUCGUGGGGGAUAACGUAGGGAAACUUACGCUAAUACCGCAUACGACCUACGGGUGAAAGCAGGGGAUCUUCGGACCUUGCGCGAUUGAAUGAGCCGAUGUCGGAUUAGCUAGUUGGUGGGGUAAAGGCCCACCAAGGCGACGAUCCGUAGCUGGUCUGAGAAGAUGAUCAGCCACACUGGAACUGAGACACGGUCCAGACUCCUACGGGAGGCAGCAGUGGGGAAUAUUGGACAAUGGGCGCAAGCCUGAUCCAGCCAUACCGCGUGGGUGAAGAAGGCCUUCGGGUUGUAAAGCCCUUUUGUUGGGAAAGAAAUCCAGCUGGCUAAUACCCGGUUGGGAUGACGGUACCCAAAGAAUAAGCACCGGCUAACUUCGUGCCAGCCGCCGCAGUAA
Molecule: ribosomal RNA, 506 nt
Filed under: uncultured bacterium
Lineage: Bacteria
Description: partial 16S ribosomal RNA
Rfam family: Bacterial small subunit ribosomal RNA
Source: RNAcentral